GAUGAACGCUAGCGGCAGGCUUAACACAUGCAAGUCGAGGGGCAGCACGGAAGUGGUAACACUUUUGGUGGCGACCGGCGUACGGGUGCGUAACACGUGUGCAACCUGCCUUUAUCUGGGGGAUAGCCUUUCGAAAGGAAGAUUAAUACUCCAUAAUAUAUUGAACGGCAUCGUUUAAUAUUGAAAGCUCCGGCGGAUAGAGAUGGGCACGCGCAAGAUUAGCUAGUUGGUGAGGUAACGGCUCACCAAGGCGAUGAUCUUUAGGGGGCCUGAGAGGGUGAUCCCCCACACUGGUACUGAGACACGGACCAGACUCCUACGGGAGGCAGCAGUGAGGAAUAUUGGUCAAUGGGUGCAAGCCUGAACCAGCCAUCCCGCGUGAAGGACGACUGCCCUAUGGGUUGUAAACUUCCUUUGUAUAGGGAUAAACCUACCCUCGUGAGGGUAGCUGAAGGUACUAUACGAAUAAGCACCGGCUAACUCCGUGCCAGCCGCCGCCGUAA
This 503-nucleotide ribosomal RNA is filed under the name uncultured bacterium. RNAcentral's name for it is "partial 16S ribosomal RNA". It matches the Rfam family "Bacterial small subunit ribosomal RNA", at positions 28 to 523 of the family's 1533-position model. The record is from RNAcentral.